RNAcentral lists this long non-coding RNA (1751 nucleotides) under Homo sapiens (human). Its description in RNAcentral is "HSALNT0383559". The record is from RNAcentral. Lineage: Eukaryota; Metazoa; Chordata; Mammalia; Primates; Hominidae.
GAAAAAUAAAAAGAUGAACUCUUUGAGAUUAGAGGUAAUAAUAUCAAGAAAUAUCUGUUCUCAUUUGAGUGCAUGUGUCUCUGCAAAAUUCAUAUGUUGGAACUUAAAGCCCAGGGUGAUGGUAUUAAGAGGUGGUAGAAAGGCAUUUGGGAAUGGAUUACAUCAUAAAGGCUCUACCCUGAUUAAUGGGAUUAUGGAACAGGCUUCAAAGAGCUACCUGGAACUUCCAUCACUUCUACCAUGUGAAGAUAAACAUGAAUCUCUUUUUUCCCUUAUAUUUCUUCUGCCAUGUGAGAACACAGUAUUUGUCUUUUCCACCUUUCCAUGAUGUGAGGACACCCCAAGAAUGUCCCCUAAAGACAGGAAACAAGACAUGGAAUCUUCUGGCACCAUGAUCUUGGACUUCAUAGCCUCCAAAAUGUGAAGGGAACGAGAGCAAAGCCACCUGCAUAUCUUCGGCAGUUAAAGAUCAGAAUCAUAACAACAAUAACAUCUCACAAUUUUCCAAGUGCUCCUUCGGCUCUGUCUUUUUCCUCCCACCUGAGGCCCCCAGGGUGGGUGUAGACAUUCAUCUCUGCUUCAUUUGAUCCACCUCUGCUUGGCCACUGCUGGACUUUUUCUCAGGCAAAGGAGAACCCCCAGGAGAGUGGAUAAACUGGACCAAGGAGCUGCAGAGGUAGUUUGAUUUCACCACAAUCAUUUCAUCUGUCUUAGCAAAACCCCCUUGGGCUUGCCCUGUAGUACACAAACUUGGCUUUGUUCACGCAGCUCAAAUAGAACACUUCUCCUUCAAAAUUUAACUCAGCUCUCGGAAACACUGAAAGGAAAUGUGGCCUAUAAUUAUCCAACGUGAGAUGCAAGGAUUGAAUGCUUUGUCCAAGCUUUGCUGUUCUAAGAGAAGUCAAGGUGAAGGGUUUAGUGCCUCUGAAGCUGGGGCAAGAAAACAAUCGGCUUCUCCAACGGUCAGUAAAGAAUACAAGGGCACAGUUAAAACAGAGCCACUGAAGUGAACAACCUUCAUGUGACCAACAGGAGAAACACCCCCUCCAGGAACCUAAGACCAGUUUGCUACAAGAAUACAAUUGGUAUUCCCCACAGUCACCCUCACAAGGGACACUUACAAAGCACACUCCAAUCUCAGCCAUUACUGACUGACAAGAGCCUGCCUGUCUGAAGCCUGCAGGCCCGAGAAGCUUCUUUCUCCCUUCUCUUGGCUAUUAGUCACAGCUGGUAAGGCUCACAGGAACCGAGACUGUUUGAAAACAGUUGGAUCACGAAAACGUUUGAGUCUUUCUGCUGCAAGCAACAAACUUGGCCCAGGCUGCCACAAGGAGAUGGAGUGGGAGUGGGGGUGGCGAUGGGAUGCACCAGGAACGAAGGAAGAAAGGGAAAUUGCUAACCACCUCACUUCAAAAUCUUCUCUGAGGGAGCCCGUGGCUAUUAUCCUGGUUCAAAUGUCACAGAUAGAAGAUAAUAAAAACAAGAAGAAAUAAAAUUCAAGAUCCAUUAGAACACUUCUGGAUUGUCCAUUACAGCAUGUAUUACCCAACAGAAAGAUGAUCACUAAUAGAUGACAAGCUAUUUAAUUUUAUGUUUACUUUUGGAAGGAUGCAGGUACUGUGCAGGGUUUCUACAACACAUCAGCAUUGCUUACACCAGUACUUCAAAUAUGAGUUAUUUAAUCACCCAAGUUAAAUGAAAAUAACCAAAUGAUUAAAUAAAAUCAAGUCAUACUUCAUGUGAAGACUUUA